Molecule: ribosomal RNA, 551 nt
Filed under: uncultured bacterium
Lineage: Bacteria
Description: bacterial SSU rRNA
Rfam family: Bacterial small subunit ribosomal RNA
Source: RNAcentral
UAGGGAAUCUUCCGCAAUGGACGCAAGUCUGACGGAGCAACGCCGCGUGAGUGAAGAAGGUUUUCGGAUCGUAAAACUCUGUUGUUAGAGAAGAACAAGUGCUAGAGUAACUGUUAGCGCCUUGACGGUAUCUAACCAGAAAGCCACGGCUAACUACGUGCCAGCAGCCGCGGUAAUACGUAGGUGGCAAGCGUUGUCCGGAUUUAUUGGGCGUAAAGCGAGCGCAGGCGGUUCCUUAAGUCUGAUGUGAAAGCCCCCGGCUCAACCGGGGAGGGUCAUUGGAAACUGGGGAACUUGAGUGCAGAAGAGGAGAGUGGAAUUCCAUGUGUAGCGGUGAAAUGCGUAGAUAUAUGGAGGAACACCAGUGGCGAAGGCGACUCUCUGGUCUGUAACUGACGCUGAGGCUCGAAAGCGUGGGUAGCAAACAGGAUUAGAUACCCUGGUAGUCCACGCCGUAAACGAUGAGUGCUAAGUGUUGGAGGGUUUCCGCCCUUCAGUGCUGCAGUUAACGCAUUAAGCACUCCGCCUGGGGAGUACGACCGCNNAGGUUG